UACGUAGGGGGCUAGCGUUGUCCGGAAUCAUUGGGCGUAAAGAGCGUGUAGGCGGCCCGGUAAGUCCGCUGUAAAAGUCAAAGGCUCAACCUUUGAAUGUCAGUGGAUACUGCCGGGCUAGAGUCCGGAAGAGGCGAGUGGAACUCCUGGUGUAGCGGUGAAAUGCGCAGAUAUCGGGAAGAACACCCGUGGCGAAGGCGGCUCUCUGGGACGGUACUGACGCUGAGACUCGAAAGCGUGGGGAGCGAACAGG
Molecule: ribosomal RNA, 253 nt
Filed under: uncultured bacterium
Lineage: Bacteria
Description: partial 16S ribosomal RNA
Rfam family: Bacterial small subunit ribosomal RNA
Source: RNAcentral